RNAcentral lists this ribosomal RNA (578 nucleotides) under Hydora sp. 5 MF-2023a. RNAcentral describes it as "partial large subunit ribosomal RNA". It matches the Rfam family "Bacterial large subunit ribosomal RNA", at positions 1842 to 2695 of the family's 2925-position model. The record is from RNAcentral. Lineage: Eukaryota; Metazoa; Arthropoda; Insecta; Coleoptera; Elmidae.
AUAAUAUAAGAUUUAACCUGCCCACUGAAUAAUUGAAUGGCCGCGGUAUUUUGACCGUGCAAAGGUAGCAUAAUAAUUAGUUUUUUGAUUGAAAGCUGGAAUGAAUGGUUGGACGAGAAAAUUACUGUCUCUGAUUAAAUUUUGAUAAAACUUUAUUUUUAAGUUAAAAAGCUUAAAUGUUGUUAAAAGACGAGAAGACCCUAUAGAGUUUAAUAAUUUUUUAAUAAUAUAAUUUUAGGUAUUUAAAUUUUGUUUUUAAAAUAUUAUUUUAUUGGGGUGAUAGAAAGAUUAAAUAAACUCUUUUUUUAUUUGUACAUUUAUAUAUGAUUAUUUGAUCCAUUUUUUAUGAUUAUAAGAAUAAAUUACCUUAGGGAUAACAGCGUAAUCUUUUUAGAGAGUUCUUAUCGAAAUAAGGGAUUGCGACCUCGAUGUUGGAUUAAAGUUAAUUUUUGGUGUAGAAGCUUGAAAAUUGAGUCUGUUCGACUUUUAAAACUUUACAUGAUCUGAGUUUAAACCGGUGUGAGCCAGGUUGGUUUCUAUCUUUAUUAAAUUAAAAUGUCUUAGUACGAAAGGACCAA